Molecule: non-coding RNA, 83 nt
Organism: Proteus penneri ATCC 35198
Lineage: Bacteria; Pseudomonadati; Pseudomonadota; Gammaproteobacteria; Enterobacterales; Morganellaceae
Source: Rfam
ACUGCUUUUCUUUGAUGUCCCCAAAUAUUGAGGAGCCCGAUAGUUUCAACCCUUUUGGUGAAAUAACUGUCGGGUUUUUUAUU